AGCAGCCGCGGUAAUUCCAGCUCCAAUAGCGUAUAUUAAAGUUGUUGCAGUUAAAAAGCUCGUAGUUGAAUUUCGAGAUCAAAUUGUUGGUCGUGCCUUGGUACGCACUGGCAUUAUUGGUUUCUCCCUUCUGACGAACCAUGAUGUCAUUAAUUUGGUGUCUUGGGGAAUCAGGACUGUUACUUUGAAAAAAUUAGAGUGUUUAAAGCAGGCUCACGCUUGAAUACAUUAGCAUGGAAUAAUGAAAUAGGACGUUUGAUUCUAUUUUGUUGGUUUCUAGGAUCGACGUAAUGAUUAAUAGGGAUAGUUGGGGGCAUUAGUAUUCAAUUGUCAGAGGUGAAAUUCUUGGAUUUAUUGAAGACUAACUACUGCGAAAGUAUUUGCCAAGGAUGUUUUCAUUAAUCAAGAACGAAAGUUAGGGGAUCGAAGACGAUCAGAUACCGUCGUAGUCUUAACCAUAAACUAUGCCGACUAGGGAUCGGAUGAUGUUAAUUUUUUAAUGACUCAUUCGGCGCCUUAC
RNAcentral lists this ribosomal RNA (520 nucleotides) under uncultured Glomus. RNAcentral describes it as "SSU rRNA". It matches the Rfam family "Eukaryotic small subunit ribosomal RNA", at positions 569 to 1091 of the family's 1831-position model. The record is from RNAcentral. Lineage: Eukaryota; Fungi; Glomeromycota; Glomeromycetes; Glomerales; Glomeraceae.